GGAAUAUUGCACAAUGGGGGAAACCCUGAUGCAGCGACGCCGCGUGAGUGAAGAAGUAUCUCGGUAUGUAAAGCUCUAUCAGCAGGAAAGAUAAUGACGGUACCUGACUAAGAAGCCCCGGCUAACUACGUGCCAGCAGCCGCGGUAAUACGUAGGGGGCGAGCGUUAUCCGGAUUCACUGGGUGUAAAGGGAGCGUAGACGGCCAUGCAAGCCAGGGGUGAAAGCCCGGGGCCCAACCCCGGGACUGCCCUUGGAACUGCAUGGCUGGAGUGCGGGAGGGGUAGGCGGAAUUCCUGGUGUAGCGGUGAAAUGCGUAGAUAUCAGGAGGAACACCGGCGGCGAAGGCGGCCUGCUGGACUGCGACUGACGUUGAGGCUCGAAAGCGUGGGGAGCGAAC
RNAcentral lists this ribosomal RNA (398 nucleotides) under uncultured bacterium. Its description in RNAcentral is "bacterial SSU rRNA". It matches the Rfam family "Bacterial small subunit ribosomal RNA", at positions 358 to 773 of the family's 1533-position model. The record is from RNAcentral.